This 253-nucleotide ribosomal RNA is filed under the name uncultured bacterium. RNAcentral describes it as "partial 16S ribosomal RNA". It matches the Rfam family "Bacterial small subunit ribosomal RNA", at positions 524 to 776 of the family's 1533-position model. The record is from RNAcentral.
UACAGAGGCCUCGAACGUUAUGCGGAAUCACUGGGCUUAAAGCGUGUGUAGGCGGAUGCCUAAGUGCUUUGUGAAAUCCCACGGCUCAACCGUGGAAUUGCUUGGCAUACUGGGUGUCUUGAGCCAUCUAGGGGCGAGCGGAACAAGUGGUGGAGCGGUGAAAUGCGUAGAUAUCACUUGGAACGCCAACGGUGAAAACAGCUCGCUGGGGAUGUGCUGACGCUGAGACACGAAAGCCAGGGGAGCGAACGGG